RNAcentral lists this transfer RNA (594 nucleotides) under Mesorhizobium plurifarium. RNAcentral describes it as "partial 16S-23S ribosomal RNA intergenic spacer". The stretch from base 130 to 203 matches the Rfam family "tRNA". The record is from RNAcentral. Lineage: Bacteria; Pseudomonadati; Pseudomonadota; Alphaproteobacteria; Hyphomicrobiales; Phyllobacteriaceae.
GCGCUCGCGCGCCGCAUCGCACCCUUCGGGUGCUGGCGCUCCGCGAGGGCGCGGCACGAGCCGCGACGGCCGGUCGGCCUUGCGAGACGUGCGUCUCGUUGGCGAAAGCCGAUUUAAGGCGCAGUCUAAGGGCUUGUAGCUCAGUUGGUUAGAGCGCGCGCUUGAUAAGCGUGAGGUCGGAGGUUCAAGUCCUCCCAGGCCCACCACUAACAGUGCAACCCGAAGGGUUGUCGCUUGCCGGUCGAUGCGAUCGGGCACUAUCAGGGGCCGUAGCUCAGCUGGGAGAGCGCCUGCUUUGCAAGCAGGAUGUCGUCGGUUCGAUCCCGUCCGGCUCCACCAACCAUCUUUUUGUGAAGAUGGGACGUGUCGAGUAGAGAUGGUCGCCGGUGGUCAGUCAUUCGAAAAUGAGUUUGCGUCGGGCUUAAUGCUCUGCGCCUGUUCUGUUUGACAUCGUAAAGAGAAGAUUUGUUCGAACUUCAUGGAUCCCGAAAGGGCCAUGAUUUGUCGCAAGGGACGCUCAAUUCCUUGCAUAUGAUGGGUUUGCCUAACCGCGCCCUCGAACCGAUCUCGAGAAGCUGGUCUUUUUGUGCCAAU